Molecule: ribosomal RNA, 496 nt
Filed under: uncultured bacterium
Lineage: Bacteria
Description: partial 16S ribosomal RNA
Rfam family: Bacterial small subunit ribosomal RNA
Source: RNAcentral
AUGCACGCUGGCCGCGUGCCUCAUACAUUCAAGUCGAGCGAACGGACGAGAAGCUUGCUUCUCUGAUGUUAGCGGCGGACGGGGGAGUAACACGUGGAUAACCUACCUAUAAGACUGGGAUAACUUCGGGAAACCGGAGCUAAUACCGGAUGAUAUUUUGAACCGCAUGGUUCAAAAGUGAAAGACGGUCUUGCUGUCACUUAUAGAUGGAUCCGCGCUGCAUUAGCUAGUUGGUAAGGUAACGGCUUACCAAGGCAACGAUGCAUAGCCGACCUGAGAGGGUGAUCGGCCACACUGGAACUGAGACACGGUCCAGACUCCUACGGGAGGCAGCAGUAGGGAAUCUUCCGCAAUGGGCGAAAGCCUGACGGAGCAACGCCGCGUGAGUGAUGAAGGUCUUCGGAUCGUAAAACUCUGUUAUUAGGGAAGAACAUAUGUGUAAGUAACUGUGCACAUCUUGACGGUACCUAAUCAGAAAGCCACGGCUAACUACGUG